CCAGCCUGGAUACUCUGGGAGGUCACUCUCCCCAGGCUCUGUCCAGGUGGUACAUGGGAGUGCAGGGCUCUGCCCUAUGAUAUAUAUUCCCUUUCCACAGUGUUGGAUAUGAAACUGGGCCUCUGAGUGUGUGCCUUCAGUUUCUUAGAGUCCCAUGGACCAUGACUGAGGGAACAAUCCAUGCAGGAAACAAUU
This is a non-coding RNA of Erinaceus europaeus (western European hedgehog), 195 nucleotides long. The record is from Rfam. NCBI's taxonomy places the organism in Eukaryota, Metazoa, Chordata, Mammalia, Eulipotyphla, Erinaceidae.